RNAcentral lists this ribosomal RNA (460 nucleotides) under uncultured bacterium. RNAcentral describes it as "partial 16S ribosomal RNA". It matches the Rfam family "Bacterial small subunit ribosomal RNA", at positions 338 to 795 of the family's 1533-position model. The record is from RNAcentral.
GCUACGGGCGGCAGCAGUGAGGAAUAUUGGUCAAUGGGCGGAAGCCUGAACCAGCCAAGUAGCGUGAAGGAUGACGGCCCUACGGGUUGUAAACUGCUUUUAUACGGGAAUAACGCGCCUCACGUGUAGGCCUUUGCAUGUACCGUAUGAAUAAGGACCGGCUAAUUCCGUGCCAGCAGCCGCGGUAAUACGGAAGGUCCGGGCGUUAUCCGGAUUUAUUGGGUUUAAAGGGAGCGUAGGCCGGAUGUUAAGCGUGCUGUGAAAUGUCCGGGCUCAACCCGGGCCGUGCAGCGCGAACUGGCGUGCUUGAGUCCGCGAGAGGCAGGCGGAAUUCGUGGUGUAGCGGUGAAAUGCUUAGAUAUGACGAAGAACCCCGAUUGCGAAGGCAGCUUGCUGCAGCGGAACUGACGCUGAUGCGCGAAAGCGCGGGUAUCGAACAGGAUUAGAUACCCGUGUAGUC